This 363-nucleotide ribosomal RNA is filed under the name Triticum aestivum (bread wheat). RNAcentral's name for it is "partial small subunit ribosomal RNA". The record is from RNAcentral. Lineage: Eukaryota; Viridiplantae; Streptophyta; Magnoliopsida; Poales; Poaceae.
AUGGUGGUCUUCUCGGAUGCCAUCAGCAUGGGGUACUGCACUCGCGGCGGCAACAUCACCUUGGUUCUUAACCAGCUGGUGGUGGACAUCUCUGAGCCGAAGUGGGAUCCCAAGGCGGUGGCGGUUCUGGACACGGCUUGGAUCCUCAUCGCCGGCCUGCCCGAUGUUGCCCGGUCUGAGCGGGUAAUCCGCAGUAAGUCCAAGAUCCUCAGCAAGGUGGUGGUGGUCGACGAGCUCUCGCUUUGCAAGGAGGAGGAGGUUUGGGUGAAGGUGAAAUCCCUGGACUCCUCCAAGCUCCGUGCCACAGUCUCGUUUUCUUCAACGACGAGGCUUUCGACCUCAAGAUUUCCCCCGAGCCGUUGA